UACGGAGGGUGCAAGCGUUAUCCGGAAUCACUGGGUUUAAAGGGUGCGUAGGCGGCGAGAUAAGUCAGUUGUGAAAUUCCCCGGCUUAACCGGCGGGACUGCGAUUGAUACUGUUUUGCUUGAAACAGGUUGAGGUAAGCGGAAUGUGGCAUGUAGCGGUGAAAUGCAUAGAUAUGCCAUAGAACACCGAUUGCGAAGGCAGCUUGCUGGGCCUUGUUUGACGCUGAGGCACGAAAGCGUGGGGAGCAAACAGGAUUAGAAACCCCAGUAGUCC
Molecule: ribosomal RNA, 274 nt
Filed under: uncultured prokaryote
Description: partial 16S ribosomal RNA
Rfam family: Bacterial small subunit ribosomal RNA
Source: RNAcentral